Long non-coding RNA from Marmota monax (woodchuck), 382 nucleotides. RefSeq lists it as uncharacterized. NCBI's taxonomy places the organism in Eukaryota, Metazoa, Chordata, Mammalia, Rodentia, Sciuridae. The transcript has 2 exons. The record is from RefSeq and is a predicted model, not a curated record.
UCAUGGGGCUUCAGCCUGCUCCUCUUCAGUUUCUGAUGACCUGGGCUAAGAGAGGAUCUUCCUGCUAUGACCCUACUAUGGAUACCUGGCUCUUUUGUUGGACAAUUUUUAAUCUCCUGAAAGCAGUACAUAUGGAAUCUGAAGUCAUACAGAUCCCAAGCCACCAAGUCACAAAGAUGGGACAGAUGGUGAUCCUGAGUUGUGACCCCAUUUUUGGUCAUUCAUUCUUCUAUUGGUACCAACAAAUCUUGGAGCAGAGGCUGGAGUUUCUGGUUUCCUUCUAUAAUGGUAAAACCUUGGAGAAGUCUGAAAUAUUGAAGGAUCGAUUCUCAGUUGAAAAGCCUGAUAAAUCCUACUUCACCUUGAAGAUCCAUCUCACAAA